Gadus morhua (Atlantic cod) is the source of this 120-nucleotide ribosomal RNA. The record is from Ensembl. NCBI's taxonomy places the organism in Eukaryota, Metazoa, Chordata, Actinopteri, Gadiformes, Gadidae.
GCUUACGGCCAUACCACCUUAGGCAUGCCCGAUCUCGUCUGAUCUCGGAAGCUAAGCAGGGUCGGGCCUGGUUAGUACUAGGAUGGGAGACCUCCUCGGAAGGUCAGGUUGCUGUAAGUA